CCAAAAACCCGAAAAGUGUGGAUGGGGGUUACCCAAAGUGGUCAAUUUGAACUGGGGUAGGGGAGUAAUGUCCCCCACUAAAAAGGAGAGGGGAAGGGUGGUGCCAGCCGCCGCGGUAAAACCAGCUCUUCAAGUGGUCGGGAUAAUUAUUGGGCUUAAAGUGUCCGUAGCCGGAUUGGAAAGUUCCUGGUAAAAUCGGGUAGCUUAACUAUUCGCAUGCUAGGAAUACUAUCAUUCUAGAGGGCGGGAAAGGUCUGAGGUACUACAGGGGUAGGGGUGAAAUCUUAUAAUCCUUGUAGGACCACCAGUGGCGAAGGCGUCAGACUGGAACGCGCCUGACGGUGAGGGACGAAAGCCAGGGGAGCGAACCGGAUUAGAUACCCGGGUAGUCCUGGCCGUAAACGAUGCAUACUAGGUGAUGGUAUGGCCAUGAACCAUAUCAGUGCCGUAGGGAAACCGUUAAGUGUGCCGCCUGGGAAGUACGGUCGCAAGGCUAAAACUUAAAGGAAUUGGCGGGGGG
Molecule: ribosomal RNA, 520 nt
Filed under: uncultured archaeon
Lineage: Archaea
Description: bacterial SSU rRNA
Rfam family: Archaeal small subunit ribosomal RNA
Source: RNAcentral